CUGCUGUCUAAUAAAAAGUUGGUGUCUCCCCCAAUGAUUACCUCCCCAUGUUUGUGCACAUCUGUUAAAGCUAGAAUCGUUGGAAAAAAUUCAUUUUGAUUUUCAUUUGGGCCGUACACAUUAAUCAAGGUAUAUGGUACAUUGUUCAACAUACAUUGCAAAAUUAGAUAUCGAACUAAUGAGAAUGCAACAUCUUUGCUUAUCAAAG
Pelobates cultripes (western spadefoot toad) is the source of this 208-nucleotide non-coding RNA. Lineage: Eukaryota; Metazoa; Chordata; Amphibia; Anura; Pelobatidae. The record is from the annotation of a GenBank genome assembly.